UGAAUACGAGAUGCUACGGCGUCGAAGCAGUCUAUGUCAUACUUCCAAGAAAAGCUUGCACUGUCAUAAACAAAUAAUGCCUGUACCAUAACCGACACAGGUGGGUAGGUAGAGUAUACUAAGGGGCGCGAGAUAACUCUCUCUAAGGAACUCGGCAAAAUGACUCCGUAACUUCGGGAGAAGGAGUGCCUUAUUUAUAAGGUUGCAAUAACAAGAUCCAAGCAACUGUUUACCAAAAACACAGGUCUCCGCUAAGUCGUAAGACGAUGUAUGGGGGCUGACGCCUGCCCAGUGCCAGAAGGUUAAAGAAGUUGGUUAGCAUCCGCGAAGCUGAUAACUGAAGCCCUGGUGAACGGCGGCCGUAACUAUAACGGUCCUAAGGUAGCGAAAUUCCUUGUCGGGUAAGUUCCGACCCGCACGAAAGGCGUAAUGAUUUGGAUACUGUCUCGGAGAGGGGCUCGGUGAAAUAGACUUGUCUGUGAAGAUGCGGACUACCUGCACCAGGACAGAAAGACCCUAUGAAGCUUUACUGUAACCUGAAAUUGAAAUUGGACUUUACCUGCGCAGUAUAGGUGGGAGGCGUUGAGAAUAUUCUUGCGGGAUUAUUGGAGCCAUCAGUGAGAUACCACUCUUGUAAUGUUAGAUUUCUAACUUUGUAUCAUUAUCUGGUCAAAGAACAGUUUCAGGCGGGCAGUUUGACUGGGGCGGUCGCCUCCUAAACGGUAACGGAGGCGCACAAAGGUUUCCUCUGAACGGGUAGAAAUCGUAUCUAGAGUGUAAAGGCAUAAGGAAGCUUGACUGUGAGACCUACAAGUCGAGCAGGGACGAAAGUCGGUCUUAGUGAUCUGACGGUGCUGAGUGGAAAGGCCGUCACUCAACGGAUAAAAGUUACUCUAGGAUAACAGGCUGAUCUCCCCCAAGAGUUCACAUCGACGGGGAGGUUUGGCACCUCGAUGUCGGCUCAUCGCAUCCUGGGGCGGUAGUACGUCCCAAGGGUUGGGCUGUUCGCCCAUGAAAGCGGUACGCGAGCUGGGUUCAGAACGUCGUGAGACAGUUCGGUCCAUAUCCGGUGUAGGCGUUAGAAUAUUGAGAGGAGCCUUCUUUAGUACGAGAGGACCGAGAAGGACAUACCUCUGGUGUACCAGUUAUCGUGCCAACGGUAAACGCUGGGUAGCUAUGUGUGGAGUGGAUAACCGCUGAAAGCAUCUAAGUGGGAAGCCCACCUCAAGAUAAGUAUUU
This 1239-nucleotide ribosomal RNA is filed under the name metagenome. RNAcentral's name for it is "bacterial LSU rRNA". It matches the Rfam family "Bacterial large subunit ribosomal RNA", at positions 1564 to 2813 of the family's 2925-position model. The record is from RNAcentral.